CUGCAGUGCUGGGGACUAAACCUGAGUCCUCUGGAAGAGCUCUUACCUGCUGAGCCAGCUCUCCAGCCCCAGGCCCUCAUUUUCAAUCUGAUUAACAAUCUGCCUCAUAUUCUUCCAGUGCUGUUUUUACUGUUAAACCUGUAAUUUCAAGAGAGGAGCACCUUGUCACCUGAUGAAUCCAAUAAUCACAAGCACAGAGAUUUUUGUAGGAAAAACAGCCAUCUGUUCCCUUACCAUAGAACUUGAGAAGCUGCUGGUCCCUAUAAGAGCAGCGUUUAUAAUUAGCUCCUAGCAGGGCUUCUCCAGCCACACUAGAUUCCUAACUACAGGUGCAGGGCUCCAAAGACCAAUUGAUACUGCUUAUUUUAUCCCAUUCUCUCACAUUUCAGGUGUAAACUAUCUCUAGUCAGGGUAUAAAGCACCUAUGAGAAUUACCUUUGCUUUUUUAGAUUUUCACAUAGCUCUAAACACAUACACAAAAACACAUAAAACAGAAACCAACAGAUCCAGACACACUCGACCCUUUCUUGUCCUCCACAAGCAGGCAAAAGAAUUAGACGAUGUUGGAGGGGGAAGCUUCCGCUUCAACAGAACUCGGUCCCUCUGACCGAUCCGGAGACGGCCAGGCGUCCCUGGCUCUCCUUACCUCCCAGGGCGUCCCCCAGGGCCACAGCCUGUGGUCCUCCUAGCACGUCUGCCGACCACAGUCCUCCGGUCCUUACGGCCCAAAAGGACAGCUGCAAAUACAGACACGCGCAUUUCAGAAAACCCCAUCACCCCAUCGUCUACAAACACCGUCGUCCACUUCUACCUAGACGACCAAAACCAGAGAAGCACACUUGUUCCUCACUCUGCAAGGUGUAAAACCAAGGCACAAGGUGGGACUCGAACCCACGAUCUCGUAACCCUGAAACCAAAGCACGAGGUGGGACUCGAACCCACGAUCUCGCAACCCGAAAACCAAGGCACGAGGUGGGACUCGAACCCACGAUCUCGUAACCCUGAAACCAAGAUACAAAUUUAAUAAACUCAGAUGGAUCCAAACUCAGACUUUGCCGUGCUUCAGAAACAUAGGACAAGACACAAACAACCCAACAUGACAAGCACAUGUUCCAAUGUUCAUUUCAGAAAACAGAGACACCGGCCGGCACACACACAAGAGGGGAUCCCCAUACCUCCAAGUCGGUUCACAGGUGUGAGGGGUGGUUGCGUUUCCCGGCCAUCGCACCAAAUGAAAGACCUACAACGUGAGGACUCCCCCACGUUCUGACUCAGGAGAGGCGACACCCCAAAAUCACCAACGAGAAACGGUCUUGCUGCAAAUUGCAAGAGGAUUUUUAUUCAAGAGCGCUCUCGGGCCCACGGUCAUACACCACGCAGGGGUAGAGGACUGUGGCGCCCCGAGUAGCUAAGUAAAGGGGUAUUUAAAGGAAAAAUCCACAACUCAAGGAGGUGGGAAGGGCUUUGUUGGAAAAUACCAAAAAUACCAGAUAAGAGUCACAAGGAAGUACAAAGUCACAGGUGUGUCACAAGAAUACCUGGUAAUUGUUAACUCUCAAGACAGUUUCUAAGAGCCCCUAACAAUAGCACAUUUGCAUUGCAGCUUCCGGUAAUGGUCAGGGUGACUUUCUUUGAAUGAAUACUCCUUGAACUCAGGAAGUGGGUGGGUGGAGGAAUGUCACUAUCUGUUUUAUGAUUAGCAUACCUUGGAGCACUGAGUUUACUACUCUUUCAGCGGCACCUGGUGAACUACAGAAGAGUUACUCUUCUCCGCUUCUGACAUCUUUUUUAGUUCCCGAAGCUCAUUAGUCAGCCUCUGAAGCUUAAUCUCAAACUCUAACUCACUUAGUCGUGUGUCCCUAUGUGUGGCACCUCCCUUUACUGUGUAGCUCUCUCUAGGCCUGCAUCCCCAGCAGUCACUAGCCAACCUAGACUCAGAGAGAAGAUGCCGAAAGCUGUCAAAAGCCCAUCAAAUGCUCUGACUCAAAUAACCCCACUUGAGCCCUGCGCUCACGAUGACAGUGGGGUGUCUGCGGACACUGCAGAAGAGUUCCAGCCUGGAGCAGAGGCGGACAGAAGGACAGAGAAGGUGCCUGCAGAGAGUCAGCCUCCCCCAUGCAGACCCUACCCAAUAAACACACAUAUCUUGGCCAAACUGAAUUUCCACCUGAAAAAAAAAAAGAUCCUAGCAAUGCAGUUUGGGAUUUCUGAAAAGGAAAAGAGAGAAUACAAGGAGCUGGGUACAGCCGACCUAGAGAGCGAAUCCAUCCAGGAAUUUCUCAGAAGUCUACACAUGUCAGAGAGCACACUGCUUCAGGAACAGCCUGUCGCAUGCCCAUCUCUGCCAGCCCCAAAUGCAAAAGGGGUCCACCCUAAAAAACAGCCAGCUUCUGCAGUACAGGAUGUGUGUCAGGCGCAAAGGCCUCCUCCUUCCAAAGCAGUGCCCCAUAGUUCUGCCCAGCAGAGCUCCAAGGCCUCGCAAUCCCAAAGGGAUAAGACCCAAGUCUGUGUUGACAUGGAAGCUGGAGGGAAAAGGUUCAACCUAGAGAAAUCCAAAGUCGUGGGGGACCUUGGAGAAGGGGACGCAGGUCUUGGGUUUUCCCUGGUCGGUCAAAAGACACGCCAGGAUGGAGAGCAGGAGAAGAGGCUCCUGCACAGACCACUCCAGGGCUCCUCACAACAGGGUCACACCUUUCAUCUUGAGGAUGCCUGUCCACACAGUCCCCGGGAGUCCCCUGAGCUCCAGUUCCCAGACCCACCUCCAGAAGUCUUCAUGGAGACAGACUCUGAGCAGGACAUGGAAGACAGUCAAAGCGAGGAAUCCAUUGUCCCAGAACCUGAAAUUCUUUUUUCACUCUAUUAACCCCAAGAUGAAGAGCAAAGCACACACGGAGCCAUCCACGGUCUCUACACCUGGAAAGGUGGCCAAAACCAGUAAAGAAAAUGUUGAUAGGGGUCUGCCUCAUGCCAAGAGCCCCACCAAGAAAACUAAGCCAGAGGACUCCAGAGGGCCCAAGGCCCAGUUUUCGUCCUCUGAGAAGUCAGUGAUGGCCUCCUUAUUAACUGCUCCCCAUAUUGUAGACAGUAAGCUCCGGCCUCGCUCCCGGCAGCUUGGCUCUGUCUCAAUAUUAGGCAACUCCCGCCAUUGCCCUCGGCACUGUCCUAGGUUGGCUUAUGCCACUCACCACAGAAACCUACCCUAGCUCCCAGGGUUUACUUCAGAAAUGCUCUUCUGGUAUUGGAGACCGCCCUGCAUGGUGACAGUUUCUAGGCUCCCCAACCUCUGUAUCCCUUUAAGAGCACAGCAUUGUCAUUUUCUUUGAUGAACAGGUAGGGACUGCACUACCCAAAAUGUAUUUUCUAUCUCCGAAUGAGUUGUCUGUCGUCUUUGUCUCUGCUGUACAUUAUUAAGAGAAGGUAUGAAGGAAAUAAAAAUGCCCUCAUCCUGGGAAGGAGACUUGAACUUACUUCAGACAAGUCAGUUUUCCUUACCCCAACCUAGAAUGUGAAUUAAACACUUGACCAGAAAGGAAGUCUCUCGUGUAUUAUACAAUAAAGAUAAAGAUCAGGCUUGAGUUCCUUCACCAAACUCUGCCUGGCUCAUAUUUUGGGGCCAAAGGUAAAGCGAUAAGGGAAAAAUUGUGAUGUUCUCAAUUUAAUUAUGAAAGUCAAGGGCUGGAAUGAAAAAGAAGUAAAAGAAAUUAGUGACGGCAGAGAACCAUCAAAAAAGAUUCUUCACGGUUUGGGACCUUUCCAUCCCUUCACAGUGAGUCCUUGGAUGUUACAUCCUUGAGUUCUCAAGGUACCUGCAAGAAAAAGGAUAUGUCCAAGCCCUCCACAGAUGCUCAGCCCUCAGGGGUACUCUCGGGCCUUUUCUGACCCAAAACACCAUGUAAGUCAGCCUUUCCCUCUUCCCCGACCUCUCUGAAUGGCAAGACUCCCUGUGAGCGUGAAGGAGCACAGAUUACUGUCCCGUUCCUGUCGCUGGCUGAGUGUGAAGCACUGGAACGCCACCUCCUAAAGAAACAACUAAGCAAGCUUCAGUGGGGCCUGCCAGCUCUCCUCCUCCAAAACCAGCCCUGAAUGCUGUGUGAAGCACCCAGUGAGGCUAAGACAGUAAAAACUUCCUUGGCAAGGAAGCCCUUUUUACAUCCCACCAGGGACAUCUUCCCAGAGCACGCAGGAAGGCUGCUGGAAUUCCACCUGCAGAAGCAGCUGAUUCACCUCCGCUGGGGGCUGCCCCAGAGGAUCCAGCGCUCCAUGAAUAUGCUGCUCUCCUCAACAGACCCACAGUCCCUGCCCUGUGGCAGCAGUAGCUUACCCAAUGUGAGCAUCUCACAGCCUGGGAAACCAGAGGCCAAUGGGCCUGGUGACAUGUUCUCACUCACAGCGGGCAAAGGGACAAUCCCCAUGCCACACUUGUUUGCCAAGACAAGGGAAAUGUUGAAAAGCCAUGUUGAUUCCAAAUGUGAACAGAUCCGGGAGGGCGAGGUCCCGGCCCAAGUCUGGAAAUCUUGGGAAUGCAAAAUUCCUGGAAGCUUAGCAACAGUGGCUCCCUUCCCUUGGAUUCCACAAGGCCAAUGCAGGAAGUUACAGGCAGAAAGUAAAAGUGACCAGGAGACACAAACCUUAUCUGGUACUCUCUUUGAACACUGUAAGAAGCCCCAAUCCCUGCCUAAGGAAACCAUUAAGAAACUGGAGACAACUUUACAUCAUAAGUAUCUGGCCUUCCUGUCAGGCCUGCCUGCCCUUUACUGUGUAGCUCUCUCUAGGCCUGCAUCCCCAGCAGUCAAUAGCCAACCUAGACUCAGAGAGAAGAUGCCCAAAGCUGUCAAAAGCCCAUCAAAUGCUCUGACUCAAAUAACCCCACUUGAGCCCUGCGCUCACGAUGACAGUGGGGUGUCUGUGGACACUGCAGAAGAGUUCCAGCCUGGAGCAGAGGCGGACAGAAGGACAGAGAAGGUGCCUGCAGAGAGUCAGCCUCCCCCAUGCAGACCCUACCCAAUAAACACACAUAUCUUGGCCAAACUGAAUUUCCACCUGAAAAAAAAAAA
This 5054-nucleotide long non-coding RNA is filed under the name Mus musculus (house mouse). Its description in RNAcentral is "predicted gene 17167". The record is from RNAcentral. Lineage: Eukaryota; Metazoa; Chordata; Mammalia; Rodentia; Muridae.